AAGUCGUAACAAGGUUUCCGUAGGUGAACCUGCGGAAGGAUCAUUCACACUAAGUCAGAUAUGCUCGCUUCACACUUCUC
RNAcentral lists this unclassified non-coding RNA (80 nucleotides) under fungal sp. RNAcentral describes it as "partial internal transcribed spacer region". The stretch from base 1 to 46 matches the Rfam family "Eukaryotic small subunit ribosomal RNA", at positions 1786 to 1831 of the family's 1831-position model. Lineage: Eukaryota; Fungi. The record is from RNAcentral.